GACAGGGGGUGCAAGCGGUACUCGGAAUUACUGGGCGUAAAGAGCGUGUAGGCGGUCUAUUAAGUCCACUGUGAAAGCCCCCGGCUCAAUCAGGGAAGUGCAGUGGAUACUGCUAGACUAGAGUGCAGGAGAGGAGGGUGGAAUUCCCGGUGUAGAGGUGAAAUUCGUAGAUAUCGGGAGGAACAACAGAGGCGAAGGCGGCCCUCUGGACUGCAACUGACGCUUAGGCGCGAAAGCGUGGGGAGCAAACAGG
This 253-nucleotide ribosomal RNA is filed under the name uncultured bacterium. RNAcentral's name for it is "partial 16S ribosomal RNA". It matches the Rfam family "Bacterial small subunit ribosomal RNA", at positions 524 to 776 of the family's 1533-position model. The record is from RNAcentral.